UCAGGUGACCGGGCCAACUUCUCUGUUUCUCAUGUCAAAACAAGAACAAAGGACUAUUCAGAUUGGAAAACAGCAUGAUAGAGCAACAUUAAAUUCAGCACUGAGAAUAAAGUCAAUUCUUCUGCCAUCAACUAUUUCCAACAUGGACAAGAAUUCUGAAGUUUUCUCGGGUGAUCAGGCUGCCACCUUCACUCCAAAGAAUAUCUUCACAAAUUAGAUUCAAGAUCACAAUGAGCUGUCAGAUCCCAGAAAGCAUCGAGGCACUGAGCUAUAUCUCCACAUGCUGCUGACGAAAAAUACUGCCC
This is a long non-coding RNA of Sardina pilchardus (European sardine), 305 nucleotides long. RefSeq lists it as uncharacterized. The record is from RefSeq and is a predicted model, not a curated record. Lineage: Eukaryota; Metazoa; Chordata; Actinopteri; Clupeiformes; Clupeidae. The transcript has 3 exons.